This 302-nucleotide ribosomal RNA is filed under the name unidentified marine bacterioplankton. RNAcentral describes it as "bacterial SSU rRNA". It matches the Rfam family "Bacterial small subunit ribosomal RNA", at positions 48 to 339 of the family's 1533-position model. The record is from RNAcentral.
UUAACACAUGCAAGUCGAGCGGAAAGGCCCCUUCGGGGGGUACUCGAGCGGCGAACGGGUGAGUAACACGUGGGUAAUCAACCCUUGACAUCGGGAUACCCCGGGGAAACCCGGAUCAAUACCGGAUAAGGGUGCCGGAGGCGCAGGCCGCCGUACCAAAGAUAGCUUACGGGCUUUCGGUCAAAGGGGCGAGCCCGCGGCCCAUUAGCUUGUUGGUGGGGUAAUGGCUACCAAGGCGACGAUGGGUAGCUGGUCUGAGAGGACGAUCAGCCACACUGGGACUGAGACACGGCCCAGACUCC